GAAAGUGAGACAUGUUCAUUUCAAAAGCUUCCUCCACUAAGAUAGGAAAAUUGAUGAGGAUUAAUAAGGAGUUAUUUUCUUGCUUGAAGUCAUGAGUUUUAACCUUUUCCAAAAUGGUAAUGAUGCCAAAGUAAUGACUAUCUGAAAGUUAGUGAGGAAGGAGCCUUUCUGAAAUAGCCCUACAGUUGGGAGGAGGUAGAACAGUCCUUCUGGGAAUAUUGCAGGAGGCAAGGCACAAAAAGAUAACAUUGUAAACGUCUAGUAGAUGAACGCAAGUUAAUAUGGAGGCCAGGUCUGAAUCCCUCAAUGUGGGUCUCAGUUUAUUCGUUUAUAAAAUGAAAAGUUUGGACUAGAUGACCUACCCCCUGUAGUCCUUUGUGGAUGUAGAUUUAGGUUCUUAGAUUUCUAAGCAGAGUGGGCUUGUGGGUGAACAACUAGUGAGAGAGAUCUCUUUUUAGCUUCUUGAGCUUCUCCCUAAAUAGGGUAAUAAGAUAAUAAUGCAAAGUGCUGUGAAGCCAAACAUUAGGGAAAGAGCAGAUGAACUCAUGGAAAAUCAAGAGGAAAAAAGGCCACAUGCUGUCAGGUGGCACUGACACGCCUUUUCAUCUGGUGCUGAUAGGGAAAAUUGCUGGGGUAUUGCUGGUUUUUUUUUUUUUUUUUAAGAGACUAAGUUUUACUACAUUACUGUAUUCUGAAAGUCGUGGAUUUUUACUUCUUAAACAAAUUGCAAAGUGUCUUAUUUUUACUUUUUAAAAACAAGUAUGAAUAGAGAAGAAAAUCUCGCUGAGAUUCUCCACAGGGUGGUCUCACAAGCAGAAGGGCUAGAAGGCCUGUCUGCUGUGGACCACAGAUGCACGCACUGGAAACACUGGUGGGAAGGGAUCCUUCCAGAAGGCAAGAGACUGCAUUUAAAAAUCCAACAUGAGUCUUGUGGCCCAUCUCAACCACGCAAAGCUCCAGUUAGAACGAUUACCAUUCAUGGCCAAGCAUUUGUUCUGUAAACUUCUUGACUACAUAGUCCAGAAACUUCAUUAAGGGGAAAUUUGGGCAUCACUGUCAGGAUGUGACUUGCAGGCAGCUUCUCUUUUGAAUAUUCGUCACUCGAGAAAAUUCAGGAGGUCCUGAUACUCUUUGGAGGAGAAUGUGUGUGUGUAUGUCUUAUUAGGUCUGUCUCUGCCUCUGUCUCUCUGUCUCUGGCUCCCUCUCCUUCCUCUUUCUCCCCCACUUCCCUGAAUGUUCUGAGGGACAGUAAGUUUCCCUACAAACAAAGCAAAUCCCCAAGAACACCUUGCUGCUGUCCAGAUGCCUACAAAGUACACACUACCUGUAUGGUUUUCUGGUACUCUCCUUGCUUCCUGGUAUAGAAGUUAAUUCUUCCAUUUCUUUUUCUUUUUUCAGGCAGUUGAGGUUAAGUGACUUGCCCAGAGUCACAUAGCUAAUAAAUGUUAAGGGUUUGAGGCCAGAUUUGAACUUGGGUCCUCUCCACUCCAGGGUCAGUGCCAUAUCUAUUGUACCAUCUAGCUGCCUCUUAGGAGUUUCUUUAAAAGAACAUUUUGUGCUGUCCCUUUAAAACUUUCUUUCUGGUUAAAUUACUUGAAGAAUUAUUAGUUUAUUAUUUAAGGCAAUAUCCUGUUUGGGAUCUCAUAAUUUGAGAGAGGUAGAGAAUUCUGGCUAGUGUCCAAGUGAGAAAGUUUUUAAAGGCUUGACAAAUACAAUACUGGAGGUGCUGUUUAGUGAUGUUUAUCCAGGAGCAAGGGAAGUUCUCGGAGUGGGAGACAAUGCCUGCCAUUCUGCAAAUUUUCUGAAGGCAGAGAAGAGGAAUUACAUGAAGUAUGAAAAGAAUGAGCUGAAGACCUGGAGUCACUCUUUCAAAUCUUGGCCUGGAAUGGAAUAGCCAUAUGAUGUUGGGCAAGUAUUAAACCUCUUAGAGCCUCAAUUUUCUCAUCCAUAAAUGGGGAUACUGAACCUUAAGUGACCUGCUUCAGAGAGUUAUCAUGGGAAUAAGAGUGAUCUACCUUACAAUAUUGUUGUGAGGAUCAGAUGAGUUACUCGUUAAGUCCUUGACAUAGACCCUGGCCCGUUGAAGAUGUGAUUAUUCUGCCCUCCAGGUGAGGAAACUGAGACAGACAGCAAUUGAGUGACUUGGCCAGGGUCAAACAACUAGGAAGUGUCUGAAGGCUGAUUUGGACUCGGAUCUCCGAUUCCAAACCCAACACCAGCUCAUUGUGAUCUGUCAUUUUUGCACGUUUUAGUUGGUUCUAACUAAGAAAUUUAUAAACUUGCAAGAGAUGCGUGGUGACUGAGCAGUUUCACUGUGUGCGACAGAACCUUGUGCCAGUUUGUCAGCCUCCGGGUGAAGCCUACCUAGAAGCAGCAAAAAGUGGAAUUGAGUGACCAGGCCCAUUUGAACCUUACAACCCUGUGUUGUCAUAUGCUUCCCCAGGUGGUUCCAUGGAGCAGGACAAGGUAGGCCAGACUCUAUGUAUUUUCUAGACUAUAUAGAGUCUGUGCCUCCCUGGCCUUGCUCCAUGCUCUGCACUGAAGACGACUUUCUCCACAUUGCUUUGAGACUGAGAGACCUGCUCAGAGGGAGACCGUGCUGGGCCAGGGCUCUGUGAUAGAGGGUUGGCUGAGCCUGGAGGCUUGGAAGGAGGCCAUGCCAGAAGAAGCCAGGUAUCAGCAAGGUGCUAGGGAUCCAAACACAGCAAGUGAAAAGGCCCUUUACAGGAAAGGAGCUUCUCUUCCAAUGUACCUUCCCUAUAAAGCACUUGAACAAAUCUCUUUAUCUUCUAUAGAAGGGGAAUGGCCCCCAUACCUGUAUCCUACCAAGACUGGUGGUAAAAGGACAGGGUAAUAGAAGCAACAGUUGGUGCCAGGGGAAGGAAAUGAGGAGCUGAUUUUGCCCUUUGGGAGGCUCUUUCCUUCACUGCAGAUGGCCUGGGCCAGUAGGAGGAGGCUUCCUCCUUAGUAGGAUAUUAGUCACCAGGGGCCACACCGCAGCCCUCAGGACUUUGUAGUUCCUGGAAAGCGACUCCCAUUGUUUGUUUUUGUCAUUCCUAGUCCCUGUUCCCUAUGCCAAGAAGAGAAGGUAGAAAGUUUUUGAGGAGCUGGUACAACUCCCUAUAAAUGGCCUGGGGCUCUUUUCCAUAGUACAAAAAGGCAACAGGAUGGGGAAAGGCACUGGAGUCUCACGGGGGUGGAGGACAGGGGGAGGAAGUUGUGUCCUGUGGCAAUCUUUGGGAGUGUGGAUCCUUGGAAUGGUGAGAAAUGGGAUUUGCCUGUCAUCUACUUUGCUAUGCUGUUUAAAUGUUCUUCUGCUUUGAACUAAUGUUUUCUGAUUGGUUAGGUUAAAAAAAACAAACGCCUGGGGACUUAUGAGUUAUAAUCUAAAGCAGAUGUUAACACAAACAUGUCUUGAACCUGGUGUAAUUUUCAGGGACUCGCAAUCAAUGGGGGAAAGUAUAGAUUAUUUAGCAACAAAGUCCCGUGUUUUCUAAGAGAUUAUUUCCAGUGACUGCCCUAAGUAGCUCAUGUAGUGUUGUGCUGAAUGACUGCCUUGUCUGGGACCUUGCAAGUGUUUGGUACACGGUGCAACAGUCCUUUGUGAGUGUAUUGCACCUCCCACGGUGACACAAUUGUUUCAGCUGGAAAAUCCUUAAAGUUAGGGAAGUUACAGGUGCUGCUACCCACUCAGGCUGUGGCUGGCUUUUAAAGGCUCAGAAAAUGUGCCUCUUCUCCUUAAAUAUGAUCUGUGAAGUCAAUUUGGUUUUUCCACCUCGUGGUUGGCUAGCUGGAGUUGUCUCAUGACCCAUAAGCCACUUUGUGCUGUGAAUAUCAUUCAUUCAGACUCAGAUUUGUGAGCCUGGUUAAAUCACAACCUCUUUGGAUCCCAGUUUCCUCAUUUAAAACGAGAAGGUUGAUUCUGGAGAGCAGUUUGGAACUAUGCCUGGAGAUCUAUCAAACUGCAUGGCCCUUUGAUCCAGCAAUAUCAUUGCUAGAUCUAUAUCCCAAAGACAUCCCCAAAGGGGGAAAAAACUCAUUUGUACAAAAACAAAUUUGUGGUGGCAAAAAAAUGGGAAAUCAGAGAGAUGCCUGUCAAUUGGGGAUGGCUAAACAAGCUGUGGAGUAUGAUCAUUGUGCUAUAAAUAGGAUACUGUGCUAUGAGAAAUGACAAACAAGAUGAUUUCGGAAAAACUUGGAAAGACUUAGAUGAACUGAUGGAUAAUGAAGUGAACAGAACCAGGAAAGCAUUGUACACAGUAACAGCAAUAUUGUAUAGUGAAAAACUGUGAAUGACUUACUUAUUUUCAGCAAUGUCACGCCUGAUGUCUGAGUACUGGCCUUACUCAGAAGCUCCAGAUUCUCUUCUUGGUCUUCCAGCUUUCCACCAAGUUGACCUUUGGAUGGGUUUAAGCAUAAUUGCACGUGUGCUCCCUCUAGUGGUCACUUUGUGAUUUUUGAAGAAUGAAUUCAAACUAAAGGGAGAAGAAUUUGAUCUGAUCAGAGAAAGACCCUGGAUUUCCAUCCCUUCAGUUUUACUAAUGGUUCUUUGAGGUCCUAGAUAGUUAGGUACGGAGAGAAACUGGAGCAAUGAUGGAAUUGUUCCCUCGGGCAGGCAGGAAAAAGGCUCUGAUAGAGAGCAGUUGGUCCCACCUUGCUGUGUCCAACCAAGAAAUCCAAGUUAUGUUAAGCCCCUGAACUUUUUGGGGGGUCAUGGGCAACCUCACUUUGAUGUCAUGAAAUCCCAGGCAUGUCCCUGAGAUUAAAUCUUCCCCAUAAAUCUGCUUAUUGCCCAUGCCAUCUUUGCUGAACCUCCUUUGGAUCAGUCUGCCACGACACUGUCUCUUGGUGUCUUUCCCCUUGUCCCUCUCCUCUGUGUCAUGGAGUCUCUCCUAACCCAUCUAAGCCUUAUGGUGUCUCUCCUUUCGGAUCCCACUUCUCUUUAUGGCUAACUAACUCUUAGGUGCUAAAUCUCUUUUAGGAUUUAGCCUGCCAGCUAAGGACACACUCCAACCUUAUGGGGUCUUUCCUUUCUCUUGACUAAUUGUAAGUUCUACUAGGGAACUUUCCUUUCCAUCAUUAAUUAUUAAAACUAUGUACUCUCCCACUCUAUUUCAUAUUUACCAUUCUUGAUGGUCUGUUGUAUCUCUUCAUUUUAUCUGUAACUUCUUCUCUUCAAUAAACCUACUCUUUGCCAAAGAAAA
Molecule: long non-coding RNA, 5204 nt
Organism: Antechinus flavipes (yellow-footed antechinus)
Lineage: Eukaryota; Metazoa; Chordata; Mammalia; Dasyuromorphia; Dasyuridae
Exons: 2
Source: RefSeq, a predicted model, not a curated record